GGCGCUAUAGCCAAGUGGUUACGGCGACAGAUUAGAACGCGGUGAUCCUCCAUUCGACACUACUAUCUGUUCCUCUUUGAGGGCGCAGGUUCAAAUCCUGCUGGCGUCG
This is a non-coding RNA of Pholiota conissans, 109 nucleotides long. NCBI's taxonomy places the organism in Eukaryota, Fungi, Basidiomycota, Agaricomycetes, Agaricales, Strophariaceae. The record is from the annotation of a GenBank genome assembly.